Molecule: microRNA precursor, 103 nt
Filed under: Marmota monax (woodchuck)
Lineage: Eukaryota; Metazoa; Chordata; Mammalia; Rodentia; Sciuridae
Source: RNAcentral
UUAAUAUAAGGUAAUUUGGUGUGCUCUAAGUAACCCACAAUUCCUCUGGUGAAGAUUUGUGGGUUACUUAGAGCACAGCAAAUUACCUUAUAUUAAACUCAGC